GGUUAAGCGACUAAGCGUACACGGUGGAUGCCCUGGCAGUCAGAGGCGAUGAAGGACGUGCUAAUCUGCGAAAAGCGUCGGUAAGGUGAUAUGAACCGUUAUAACCGGCGAUGUCCGAAUGGGGAAACCCAGUGCAAUUCGUUGCACUAUCGUUAACUGAAUACAUAGGUUAACGAGGCGAACCGGGGGAACUGAAACAUCUAAGUACCCCGAGGAAAAGAAAUCAACCGAGAUUCCCCCAGUAGCGGCGAGCGAACGGGGAGCAGCCCAGAGUCUGAAUCAGCUUGUGUGUUAGUGGAACGGUCUGGAAAGUCCGACGGUACAGGGUGAUAGUCCCGUACACCAAAAUGCACAGGUUGUGAACUCGAAGAGUAGGGCGGGACACGUGGUAUCCUGUCUGAAUAUGGGGGGACCAUCCUCCAAGGCUAAAUACUCCUGACUGACCGAUAGUGAACCAGUACCGUGAGGGAAAGGCGAAAAGAACCCCGGCGAGGGGAGUGAAAAAGAACCUGAAACCGUGUACGUACAAGCAGUGGGAGCACCUUCGGGUGUGACUGCGUACCUUUUGUAUAAUGGGUCAGCGACUUAUAUUCUGUAGCAAGGUUAACCGUAUAGGGGAGCCGCAGGGAAACCGAGUCUUAACUGGGCGUUAAGUUGCAGGGUAUAGACCCGAAACCCGGUGAUCUAGCCAUGGGCAGGUUGAAGGUUGGGUAACACUAACUGGAGGACCGAACCGACUAAUGUUGAAAAAUUAGCGGAUGACUUGUGGCUGGGGGUGAAAGGCCAAUCAAACCGGGAGAUAGCUGGUUCUCCCCGAAAGCUAUUUAGGUAGCGCCUCGUGAACUCAUCUUCGGGGGUAGAGCACUGUUUCGGCUAGGGGGUCAUCCCGACUUACCAACCCGAUGCAAACUACGAAUACCGAAGAAUGUUAUCACGGGAGACACACGGCGGGUGCUAACGUCCGUCGUGAAGAGGGAAACAACCCAGACCGCCAGCUAAGGUCCCAAAGUCAUGGUUAAGUGGGAAACGAUGUGGGAAGGCACAGACAGCCAGGAUGUUGGCUUAGAAGCAGCCAUCAUUUAAAGAAAGCGUAAUAGCUCACUGGUCGAGUCGGCCUGCGCGGAAGAUGUAACGGGGCUAAACCAUGCACCGAAGCUGCGGCAGCGACACUAUGUGUUGUUGGGUAGGGGAGCGUUCUGUAAGCCUGCGAAGGUGUGCUGUGAGGCAUGCUGGAGGUAUCAGAAGUGCGAAUGCUGACAUAAGUAACGAUAAAGCGGGUGAAAAGCCCGCUCGCCGGAAGACCAAGGGUUCCUGUCCAACGUUAAUCGGGGCAGGGUGAGUCGACCCCUAAGGCGAGGCCGAAAGGCGUAGUCGAUGGGAAACAGGUUAAUAUUCCUGUACUUGGUGUUACUGCGAAGGGGGGACGGAGAAGGCUAUGUUAGCCGGGCGACGGUUGUCCCGGUUUAAGCAUGUAGGCUGAUUGUCCAGGCAAAUCCGGAUAAUCAAGGCUGAGGUGUGAUGACGAGGCACUACGGUGCUGAAGUAACAAAUGCCCUGCUUCCAGGAAAAGCCUCUAAGCAUCAGGUAACAUCAAAUCGUACCCCAAACCGACACAGGUGGUCAGGUAGAGAAUACCAAGGCGCUUGAGAGAACUCGGGUGAAGGAACUAGGCAAAAUGGUGCCGUAACUUCGGGAGAAGGCACGCUGGUGUGUAGGUGAAGUCCCUGCGGAUGGAGCUGAGACCAGUCGAAGAUACCAGCUGGCUGCAACUGUUUAUUAAAAACACAGCACUGUGCAAACACGAAAGUGGACGUAUACGGUGUGACGCCUGCCCGGUGCCGGAAGGUUAAUUGAUGGGGUUAUCCGUAAGGAGAAGCUCUUGAUCGAAGCCCCGGUAAACGGCGGCCGUAACUAUAACGGUCCUAAGGUAGCGAAAUUCCUUGUCGGGUAAGUUCCGACCUGCACGAAUGGCGUAAUGAUGGCCAGGCUGUCUCCACCCGAGACUCAGUGAAAUUGAACUCGCUGUGAAGAUGCAGUGUACCCGCGGCAAGACGGAAAGACCCCGUGAACCUUUACUAUAGCUUGACACUGAACAUUGAGCCUUGAUGUGUAGGAUAGGUGGGAGGCUUUGAAGCGUGGACGCCAGUCUGCGUGGAGCCAACCUUGAAAUACCACCCUUUAAUGUUUGAUGUUCUAACGUUGGCCCCUGACCGGGGUUGCGGACAGUGUCUGGUGGGUAGUUUGACUGGGGCGGUCUCCUCCCAAAGCGUAACGGAGGAGCACGAAGGUUAGCUAAUCCUGGUCGGACAUCAGGAGGUUAGUGCAAUGGCAUAAGCUAGCUUGACUGCGAGCGUGACGGCGCGAGCAGGUGCGAAAGCAGGUCAUAGUGAUCCGGUGGUUCUGAAUGGAAGGGCCAUCGCUCAACGGAUAAAAGGUACUCCGGGGAUAACAGGCUGAUACCGCCCAAGAGUUCAUAUCGACGGCGGUGUUUGGCACCUCGAUGUCGGCUCAUCACAUCCUGGGGCUGAAGUAGGUCCCAAGGGUAUGGCUGUUCGCCAUUUAAAGUGGUACGCGAGCUGGGUUUAGAACGUCGUGAGACAGUUCGGUCCCUAUCUGCCGUGGGCGCUGGAGAAUUGAGGGGGGCUGCUCCUAGUACGAGAGGACCGGAGUGGACGCAUCACUGGUGUUCGGGUUGUCAUGCCAAUGGCACUGCCCGGUAGCUAAAUGCGGAAGAGAUAAGUGCUGAAAGCAUCUAAGCACGAAACUUGCCCCGAGAUGAGUUCUCCCUGAGACUUUAAGUCUCCUGAAGGAACGUUGAAGACGACGACGUUGAUAGGCCGGGUGUGUAAGUGCAGUGAUGCGUUGAGCUAACCGGUACUAAUGAACCGUGAGGCUUAACCUU
This 2902-nucleotide ribosomal RNA is filed under the name Klebsiella pneumoniae. RNAcentral's name for it is "23S ribosomal RNA". It matches the Rfam family "Bacterial large subunit ribosomal RNA". The record is from RNAcentral. Lineage: Bacteria; Pseudomonadati; Pseudomonadota; Gammaproteobacteria; Enterobacterales; Enterobacteriaceae.